RNAcentral lists this ribosomal RNA (252 nucleotides) under uncultured bacterium. RNAcentral describes it as "partial 16S ribosomal RNA". It matches the Rfam family "Bacterial small subunit ribosomal RNA", at positions 524 to 776 of the family's 1533-position model. The record is from RNAcentral.
UACGGAGGAUGCGAGCGUUAUCCGGAUUUAUUGGGUUUAAAGGGUGCGUAGGCGGACUGUCAAGUCAGCGGUAAAAUUGAGAGGCUCAACCUCUUCCCGCCGUUGAAACUGGUGGUCUUGAGUGGAUGAGAAGUACGCGGAAUGCGUGGUGUAGCGGUGAAAUGCAUAGAUAUUAGGAGGAACACCAGUGGCGAAGGCGGCUUACUGGACUGUAACUGACGUUGAGGCUCGAAAGCGUGGGGAGCAAACAGG